RNAcentral lists this ribosomal RNA (2923 nucleotides) under Klebsiella pneumoniae. Its description in RNAcentral is "bacterial LSU rRNA". It matches the Rfam family "Bacterial large subunit ribosomal RNA". Lineage: Bacteria; Pseudomonadati; Pseudomonadota; Gammaproteobacteria; Enterobacterales; Enterobacteriaceae. RNAcentral also lists the same sequence under 1 other name. The record is from RNAcentral.
GGGUUGUGAGGUUAAGCGACUAAGCGUACACGGUGGAUGCCCUGGCAGUCAGAGGCGAUGAAGGACGUGCUAAUCUGCGAAAAGCGUCGGUAAGGUGAUAUGAACCGUUAUAACCGGCGAUGUCCGAAUGGGGAAACCCAGUGCAAUUCGUUGCACUAUCGUUAACUGAAUACAUAGGUUAACGAGGCGAACCGGGGGAACUGAAACAUCUAAGUACCCCGAGGAAAAGAAAUCAACCGAGAUUCCCCCAGUAGCGGCGAGCGAACGGGGAGCAGCCCAGAGUCUGAAUCAGCUUGUGUGUUAGUGGAACGGUCUGGAAAGUCCGACGGUACAGGGUGAUAGUCCCGUACACCAAAAUGCACAGGCUGUGAACUCGAAGAGUAGGGCGGGACACGUGGUAUCCUGUCUGAAUAUGGGGGGACCAUCCUCCAAGGCUAAAUACUCCUGACUGACCGAUAGUGAACCAGUACCGUGAGGGAAAGGCGAAAAGAACCCCGGCGAGGGGAGUGAAAAAGAACCUGAAACCGUGUACGUACAAGCAGUGGGAGCACCUUCGGGUGUGACUGCGUACCUUUUGUAUAAUGGGUCAGCGACUUAUAUUCUGUAGCAAGGUUAACCGUAUAGGGGAGCCGCAGGGAAACCGAGUCUUAACUGGGCGUUAAGUUGCAGGGUAUAGACCCGAAACCCGGUGAUCUAGCCAUGGGCAGGUUGAAGGUUGGGUAACACUAACUGGAGGACCGAACCGACUAAUGUUGAAAAAUUAGCGGAUGACUUGUGGCUGGGGGUGAAAGGCCAAUCAAACCGGGAGAUAGCUGGUUCUCCCCGAAAGCUAUUUAGGUAGCGCCUCGUGAACUCAUCUUCGGGGGUAGAGCACUGUUUCGGCUAGGGGGUCAUCCCGACUUACCAACCCGAUGCAAACUACGAAUACCGAAGAAUGUUAUCACGGGAGACACACGGCGGGUGCUAACGUCCGUCGUGAAGAGGGAAACAACCCAGACCGCCAGCUAAGGUCCCAAAGUCAUGGUUAAGUGGGAAACGAUGUGGGAAGGCACAGACAGCCAGGAUGUUGGCUUAGAAGCAGCCAUCAUUUAAAGAAAGCGUAAUAGCUCACUGGUCGAGUCGGCCUGCGCGGAAGAUGUAACGGGGCUAAACCAUGCACCGAAGCUGCGGCAGCGACACUAUGUGUUGUUGGGUAGGGGAGCGUUCUGUAAGCCUGCGAAGGUGUGCUGUGAGGCAUGCUGGAGGUAUCAGAAGUGCGAAUGCUGACAUAAGUAACGAUAAAGCGGGUGAAAAGCCCGCUCGCCGGAAGACCAAGGGUUCCUGUCCAACGUUAAUCGGGGCAGGGUGAGUCGACCCCUAAGGCGAGGCCGAAAGGCGUAGUCGAUGGGAAACAGGUUAAUAUUCCUGUACUUGGUGUUACUGCGAAGGGGGGACGGAGAAGGCUAUGUUAGCCGGGCGACGGUUGUCCCGGUUUAAGCAUGUAGGCUGGUUAUCCAGGCAAAUCCGGAUAAUCAAGGCUGAGGUGUGAUGACGAGGCACUACGGUGCUGAAGUAACAAAUGCCCUGCUUCCAGGAAAAGCCUCUAAGCAUCAGGUAACAUCAAAUCGUACCCCAAACCGACACAGGUGGUCAGGUAGAGAAUACCAAGGCGCUUGAGAGAACUCGGGUGAAGGAACUAGGCAAAAUGGUGCCGUAACUUCGGGAGAAGGCACGCUGGUGUGUAGGUGAAGUCCCUGCGGAUGGAGCUGAGACCAGUCGAAGAUACCAGCUGGCUGCAACUGUUUAUUAAAAACACAGCACUGUGCAAACACGAAAGUGGACGUAUACGGUGUGACGCCUGCCCGGUGCCGGAAGGUUAAUUGAUGGGGUUAUCCGUAAGGAGAAGCUCUUGAUCGAAGCCCCGGUAAACGGCGGCCGUAACUAUAACGGUCCUAAGGUAGCGAAAUUCCUUGUCGGGUAAGUUCCGACCUGCACGAAUGGCGUAAUGAUGGCCAGGCUGUCUCCACCCGAGACUCAGUGAAAUUGAACUCGCUGUGAAGAUGCAGUGUACCCGCGGCAAGACGGAAAGACCCCGUGAACCUUUACUAUAGCUUGACACUGAACAUUGAGCCUUGAUGUGUAGGAUAGGUGGGAGGCUUUGAAGCGUGGACGCCAGUCUGCGUGGAGCCAACCUUGAAAUACCACCCUUUAAUGUUUGAUGUUCUAACGUUGGCCCCUGACCGGGGUUGCGGACAGUGUCUGGUGGGUAGUUUGACUGGGGCGGUCUCCUCCCAAAGCGUAACGGAGGAGCACGAAGGUUAGCUAAUCCUGGUCGGACAUCAGGAGGUUAGUGCAAUGGCAUAAGCUAGCUUGACUGCGAGCGUGACGGCGCGAGCAGGUGCGAAAGCAGGUCAUAGUGAUCCGGUGGUUCUGAAUGGAAGGGCCAUCGCUCAACGGAUAAAAGGUACUCCGGGGAUAACAGGCUGAUACCGCCCAAGAGUUCAUAUCGACGGCGGUGUUUGGCACCUCGAUGUCGGCUCAUCACAUCCUGGGGCUGAAGUAGGUCCCAAGGGUAUGGCUGUUCGCCAUUUAAAGUGGUACGCGAGCUGGGUUUAGAACGUCGUGAGACAGUUCGGUCCCUAUCUGCCGUGGGCGCUGGAGAAUUGAGGGGGGCUGCUCCUAGUACGAGAGGACCGGAGUGGACGCAUCACUGGUGUUCGGGUUGUCAUGCCAAUGGCACUGCCCGGUAGCUAAAUGCGGAAGAGAUAAGUGCUGAAAGCAUCUAAGCACGAAACUUGCCCCGAGAUGAGUUCUCCCUGAGACUUUAAGUCUCCUGAAGGAACGUUGAAGACGACGACGUUGAUAGGCCGGGUGUGUAAGCGCAGCGAUGCGUUGAGCUAACCGGUACUAAUGAACCGUGAGGCUUAACCUUACAACGCCGAAG